GACGAACGCUGGCGGCGUGCUUAACACAUGCAAGUCGAGCGGUAAGGCCCUUUCGGGGGGUACACGAGCGGCGAACGGGUGAGUAACACGUGGGUGACCUGCCCUUAGCUCUGGGAUAAGCCUGGGAAACUGGGUCUAAUACCGGAUAUGACUCCAUGACGCAUGUUGUGGGGUGGAAAGCCUUGUGCGGCUAGGGAUGGGCCCGCGGCCUAUCAGCUUGUUGGUGGGGUGAUGGCCUACCAAGGCGACGACGGGUAGCCGGCCUGAGAGGGCGACCGGCCACACUGGGACUGAGACACGGCCCAGACUCCUACGGGAGGCAGCAGUGGGGAAUCUUGCGCAAUGGGCGAAAGCCUGACGCAGCGACGCCGCGUGGGGAUGACGGCCUCGG
This 391-nucleotide ribosomal RNA is filed under the name uncultured bacterium. RNAcentral describes it as "bacterial SSU rRNA". It matches the Rfam family "Bacterial small subunit ribosomal RNA", at positions 28 to 420 of the family's 1533-position model. The record is from RNAcentral.